AUUCAGCUGACGAGUCCUAAAUGGAACGAAACCUACUUUCUGGAU
This is a non-coding RNA of Schistosoma mansoni, 45 nucleotides long. The record is from Rfam. Lineage: Eukaryota; Metazoa; Platyhelminthes; Trematoda; Strigeidida; Schistosomatidae.